Caenorhabditis remanei is the source of this 80-nucleotide non-coding RNA. The record is from Rfam. Lineage: Eukaryota; Metazoa; Nematoda; Chromadorea; Rhabditida; Rhabditidae.
GUCUUUGGUGGUCCCUGAGAAUGCUCUGACUGCUUUCGAAGUACACGCAGCAGUCGAGUAUCCUUAGGAACCAGUAAAUU